ACACUGCAGGGAGUAUAACCUUUGGAACACAAUGAAUGACUACACCUAUCCAUUGCUUGAUUCCUGUCAAUCCUCCUCCUUCCUCUUUCCUUCAGAAGGAAAAGGAAUGAGAUAAAUUGAUAUUGGUAGGGAGAGGUAACAGUCAAAGAAGAGGAGGGGUAUAAGAAGAAAGUAGGAAGAGUAGAGGAAAAGAUAUUUGAAGGACUGACUAACUGUUGACGCUCAGUGUUUAUUUGGAACAAGUACCUAUGAUAAAAACUUCAGCGUUUCCUAUCUGAAUAAUCCACGUGCCAGCCACUAUUUUGUAAGAAGAAAAGAAUUAAGACAGUCCUUUACAAAGCUCUCCAUAUGAGCAGCAUAUGUGCUAGUAGCUGGGGGACAGACUCUGCUCUGAGUCACAUCCAGUGUAGCCCUACGAGAGUCACUGAGUUCCAUCAGAUGCUUCUGUGUCUCAGGAGGAGAGCUGAGCAAGGAGCCCAGAAAAACUGCAGCAAUAGCAGGACCAACUUCUCCACCGUUUUCCUGGAGAGGAGCAGCAGAAUGAAGGUCCACAGGCGACAGUGUGCAAUGCAACAGUUGCACCAGCCCUAAAACUGUCUUCCUCUGAUGCCCCAUGAGACACCCGCAGAACAAGAACCUCUCCUCUGGCAGGACCUCCCAAAUGACCCAAAGUGAAACCAGUGUAUUUCUUUGCAUCACACCAUAAACAGUAUUUUUUUGUCUGAAAUAUGUUUUAAGACUGCUUUCUCACCUUGAAUCAACUUAACCAGCUCUGCAAUCUGUAAACAGCUGUCCCUACAACCUGUUGCAAUUAACUUGGUACAGAUUGCAAAACUGCCUUAAGGCUGUUUUCUCACUGUGCAAAUCAAGUUUUAAUGUAAUCUUUCAAUUAUGGUGCAACAUGAAAUGCAUGCCCACAUUUUGGUCACUUUUUACACAUUUCAAUGCAUGUGUCUCACACUGGCAGUUCUAAGGACUGAGAAGCAUCGUUUAUACCAAGCUUUCAGUUUUGGUUUCAGUUCAAUGGAUUCACACUUGGAGUUUCACCUUGACUUUCAGUUUUAAUCAAUCCCACAGAUUGAAAACUAAACAGGCCUAGUUUCAUGUGAAAACCCAUGCAAACUAAGCUUCAAACAAAAGCAUAAACUAGGUCUGUGUUCAUGCAAUUUUUAGCAAGCUGGGCUCAGAUUUGUAAUGCAACCAGGCCAGAUGGACAUGAGUUUAAAUGAAAAGUUUGUACAACUCUGUUCAUCUCAUAUCUUCCACCAAUGAGAAUAACUUUUAAUUCAUUUCUGAAUGGGGCUGGAUUUGAACUGGUAACAUAGAUGAAAGCCUCAUUCUCCCAUUCAUUGACCCAUCUGCAUAUUCUCUGUCACAUAAUUUAAUGGCCCAGAUCUCUUUUUCACUUCUCAAGCAAUGCAAAGUGGCCAGAUUCUGGCUGGAAAUGGCCAGUGAAGAAUUUCCCUUUCAGAGGCAAGCUCCCUUCUGCAAUAAUGCUGGUGGAGCCUGCCCAACCAGCAGGCUCGCCACCCCAACCCUGGUGUAGGGAGCAUGGUGUGGGAGACAGAUGCAGCAGUGCUCUGUUACACUGAUUCUCCACUAGCCUUAGCUUCUCUAAUUAAUACUGGGACAGGCCUGGCACUGAAUCAGUGAGAACUGAACCCAAUAUGUAACUAACCCUAAGGAUGCAAAGGAGAGCUGAGCUGUGCUGUGCAGCUGUCUUCUGUGACACAUUGUCAAUACAAAAAUAAAUACUGAAUUGAAAGAGUACAACCCAAAUGCUCCCUUAUUUCACUGAAAGCGGUCCUAAAGCUUUUCAGGUAUUGUUCAUGUGGUGAUUAUUUUAUGGAGAGCUAAGAGAUUGUUUGACUGAGUCAUAAAAAUUCUCACUUGUCAAAAAUCCCAGCAACUGAUUGUAUGUAUUGUACAUCAUCACAAAUCUGUAGUUUCCUUUAGUAGAAACAUUUAAUUGCCAAAAUAGAUCUUUAGGAGUGAGUGUGUGUGUCAUUCUUUUGUUGUUUUUUAAAUGCAAAGGAUUAACUCAUUUGAAGUAGUAAGUAAUAAGAUUAUAAACAUUCAUCCUAAGUGUCAACAUGUCAAUUUUAGUACACCGUACCAGAGAGAGGCAAUAGUGUGCAUGCGCAGAAGCAGGAAUAUAGGUGCCUUUUACUGCAAAAACAUAAGAGCUGAAUGAGUUUAGGUGCCUAAAGAGUUAGGCAGUAGCCAAGAGGGAGUUUUGUGGAUCGCAGUAGUGGUGCCUAAAAAUGGGAUUUAGGUGUC
Long non-coding RNA from Mauremys mutica (yellowpond turtle), 2280 nucleotides. RefSeq lists it as uncharacterized. Lineage: Eukaryota; Metazoa; Chordata; Testudines; Geoemydidae. The transcript has 3 exons. The record is from RefSeq and is a predicted model, not a curated record.